Molecule: ribosomal RNA, 577 nt
Filed under: uncultured bacterium
Lineage: Bacteria
Description: bacterial SSU rRNA
Rfam family: Bacterial small subunit ribosomal RNA
Source: RNAcentral
CCUACGGGAGGCAGCAGUGAGGAAUAUUGGACAAUGGGCGCAAGCCUGAUCCAGCCAUGCCGCGUGCAGGAAGAAGCAUCUAUGGUGUGUAAACUGCUUUUAUACAGGAAGAAACACUCCCUCGUGAGGGAGCUUGACGGUACUGUAAGAAUAAGGACCGGCUAACUCCGUGCCAGCAGCCGCGGUAAUACGGAGGGUCCAAGCGUUAUCCGGAAUCAUUGGGUUUAAAGGGUCCGUAGGCGGUUUAAUAAGUCAGUGGUGAAAUCUGGUCGCUCAACGAUCAAACGGCCAUUGAUACUGUUAGACUUGAAUUAUUGUGAAGUAACUAGAAUAUGUAGUGUAGCGGUGAAAUGCUUAGAUAUUACAUGGAAUACCAAUUGCGAAGGCAGGUUACUAACAAUAUAUUGACGCUGAUGGACGAAAGCGUGGGGAGCGAACAGGAUUAGAUACCCUGGUAGUCCACGCCGUAAACGAUGGAUACUAGCUGUUCGGAGCAAUCUGAGUGGCUAAGCGAAAGUGAUAAGUAUCCCACCUGGGGAGUACGUUCGCAAGAAUGAAACUCAAAUGAAAUUGACGG